CCUACGGGUGGCAGCAGUGGGGAAUAUUGGACAAUGGGGGGAACCCUGAUCCAGCCAUGCCGCGUGUGUGAAGAAGGCCCUCGGGUUGUAAAGCACUUUCAGUGAGGAAGAACGCCUGGUGGUUAAUACCCAUCAGGAAAGACAUCACUCACAGAAGAAGCACCGGCUAACUCCGUGCCAGCAGCCGCGGUAAUACGGAGGGUGCGAGCGUUAAUCGGAAUUACUGGGCGUAAAGCGCGCGUAGGUGGCUUGAUAAGCCGGUUGUGAAAGCCCCGGGCUCAACCUGGGAACGGCAUCCGGAACUGUCAAGCUAGAGUGCAGGAGAGGAAGGUAGAAUUCCCGGUGUAGCGGUGAAAUGCGUAGAGAUCGGGAGGAACACCAGUGGCGAAGGCGGCCUUCUGGACUGAAACUGACACUGAGGUGCGAAAGCGUGGGUAGCAAACAGGAUUAGAUACCCGUGUAGUC
RNAcentral lists this ribosomal RNA (465 nucleotides) under Vreelandella stevensii. RNAcentral's name for it is "partial 16S ribosomal RNA". It matches the Rfam family "Bacterial small subunit ribosomal RNA", at positions 338 to 795 of the family's 1533-position model. The record is from RNAcentral. Lineage: Bacteria; Pseudomonadati; Pseudomonadota; Gammaproteobacteria; Oceanospirillales; Halomonadaceae.